UGAACGGCAACGAAGCAGCAAGGAAGGGGCACUUUUCCUCCGCAGUAAGCUGUCUCGUUGUGGGGUAUCAAAGCUGGAAAAUUGCGAGCAUUUUCCGCACGUGGAACCAGACAAGCGAGAAAAAUCCCUAUCUGCAGCAGCGUGGAGAACAAUAAUAGCAGUCUCCAUUUCCGUAAACUUACCAUGUGGCUUCCUUUCCCGAUGGAUGACGUCAGCAGCAGUGUUAUGAACUCUUGUAUCUCCUUACUUUGGAUGAUAAGCUUUUCACACUAAUCACGUUCCCGGCACCGCUGGUUUUAUUUUUGGACAACGAAUCAUUUCAUAAAUAAUAAAUAGAAUGGACUCAAACAGUGAACCAAUUCCGACAACUUCGACAUGACUCCGUUAUCUGUUUUAUUAUUAGAUCUAACUAAGCGCGGACUGUUUGAUCAGCUGAACUGUCUCAUUAGUAAUUGAAGGGGGAUAAAAAAGGAAAACUACAUAUGUUCUAGAAUUUGCGCAGUAAAAUGAAAGAAAGUUUCACAUUUAGUCAAAUUUUAUUGCUUAGUUGCUGUCAGUAAUAAAUCUGCCUGAAAUAAUUUUUCCCAGAAAAGUAAAUCAUUUCCGGAGCACAUCCGCAAUGCAAAACCCCAUAUAUCAACGUUGAUUUCAAAUUCAAACGACUAAUAACCAUGAGCAUCGUCAGUUCGUCUUAAAAAUCAAUGAUUCAUCAUCCGACUGAAUGUAUUCUUCCUUCCGCACGCGGCAUUCAAUUCCGAACAGAAUAGUAUCCAUUCAAAAGCCUACACAGUGAAGCCUUCCAUUGAAGCGCUCAUUCAGAUUCGAGAAAACCUAUCACUUUGGCACUUGUAUCUGUUAUUUUUUUUUUUUUUGUUAUUUUAUUUUUGUACCAUUUUGAUUUGCCUUCCACUAUGUAUUGUAACUUCUGCGGGAACCGAAUUGUGAAACCCAUAAACACCGACUCGGUUCACGACAACAGCCCCAGCCAGCCGGACUCGUUCAGCACAGGCACAGCGAUUUCCGGCUGAUACAUUAUUGCCCCGUGUGUCGUCGCGUUGCGUUGUUGCGAUGGCAAGCUAGGUGAUGAAAAUGUGCGUAUAAAUCUUGGAAAUUUGAGCGAAGGCCGGAGAAUGUGACACAUGAAGCGGUGAAAGCUUUAUUGCUCCCUCAAACUAGAGUGAACAUUGGUAUAAUUAUCACAAAAGAUAAGAUAUAAUGAUUUCUUAUACAAUACGAUUCAACUCGAG
Sabethes cyaneus is the source of this 1247-nucleotide long non-coding RNA. RefSeq lists it as uncharacterized. The transcript is spliced from 3 exons. The record is from RefSeq and is a predicted model, not a curated record. NCBI's taxonomy places the organism in Eukaryota, Metazoa, Arthropoda, Insecta, Diptera, Culicidae.